Molecule: non-coding RNA, 836 nt
Filed under: Pongo abelii (Sumatran orangutan)
Lineage: Eukaryota; Metazoa; Chordata; Mammalia; Primates; Hominidae
Source: RNAcentral
UGUUAAUUUAAAUGAGAAAAAUAAGGACAGUGAAAAACAGAGCGCUUAAAAAGCACUGUCUGGAUAUCUUCAGAGGGAAAAAGGAGAAAGUUAAUUGAAUUGGUGACACUUCGGGUCUCUCACAGAGGAAGACCUGUUAGAGUGCUAAGGAGAAGACAAGUUAUUAGCACCCAAAAGAAGCACCAGUGGGGAUGGAAAUACAAGGUUGACAUUCACUGAGCUGUGUUUUUUUUCCAGGGAAAUGGAUAUUCUUGAUAUUUUGAGCAAACUCUUCUUCUCUGUUUGAUCAAUGCCCAGAACAAGGAAACAGACCUUCUCUUUCCAGUACCUCCUAUCUAUCUAGAUAAUAUGGAAGCCAGGGAGAAGAAUGGGAACCCAAGAUCUAUGAGCCCUUAUGACAUAUGAAAAGUGGGUGUUAUCUGAAAAGUAGAACUCUAGAUGAAACCAGGCCUUUCCCAACAAUGGAGCCCAGGACAAUGCUGUCUUCAAUGUCCAUACCAUUAGACUUGUUAUAGAUGAACUUCUAUAAUGAUGGCUUUCUGGUUAAUUAAACCCUCUGAAUGAUUCUGUGUAACACUGACUUCCGUGAUUCAUCACAGAACAAGUCUUCAUUCUUUCAUGGAUUAUUACUGUUUUCAGUGACUAUAUUUGGUUGUUUACUCUUUUUGGCACCAAUCACCCAGUGAGUCAACAACCAGAGUUGCGAACAAAUUACCCUCAUUGUCUUUUCCGAGUCCCUUAAUUUACUUUAUUUUUCAUUUGUUGCAAAUGUCAUUGUUUCUGCUAAUGUUGUUUUUUAACAUCUGCCAAGAUAAAAAUAAAAAAACCACUUGUAA